GGCGUGUAUAAAACCACAGUUGCCUGGAGCAUCUCCACACUUGCUCGCAGUGGGCAACCAGCAGGCACCUCUUUCUACAUGAUUCCAAGGUAGUGCUUGUUGACUUUUUCAAAUCGGGUUCCUCACAAUAAGAAGACACUGAAGCCCACAAGGACAGAGAUAAAUACAAAAAGAAAGAUAGGAGAAGCCCUAUGAUGUUUGAGUUAUUUUACAAUAACCCAAGAACAGUGUUAUACACAAAAAGGAGGAGAGAAGGUGUAUUGGCAAAGGAUGGUGCUGAAGCAUGAAGCUGCUGCUGCAGCCUUGAAGCUGGAAGGCUCGCCCUGAAGUUAGACGGAUUGGGGUACCCAACCUCUGCCAAACCCACCUCUGUGUUCCUGUCUGCCUGGGAAAAAGAAAAGACACUCUCGAUCCGUCACCUGAAGUAGCCACAAUUAGGAAAGU
This 444-nucleotide long non-coding RNA is filed under the name Bos indicus x Bos taurus (hybrid cattle). RNAcentral describes it as "lncRNA (ENSBIXG00000028617.1)". Lineage: Eukaryota; Metazoa; Chordata; Mammalia; Artiodactyla; Bovidae. The record is from RNAcentral.